GGUUAAGCGACUAAGCGUACACGGUGGAUGCCCUGGCAGUCAGAGGCGAUGAAGGACGUGCUAAUCUGCGAUAAGCGUCGGUGAGGUGAUAUGAACCGUUAUAACCGGCGAUUUCCGAAUGGGGAAACCCAGUGUGUUUCGACACACUAUCAUUAACUGAAUCCAUAGGUUAAUGAGGCGAACCGGGGGAACUGAAACAUCUAAGUACCCCGAGGAAAAGAAAUCAACCGAGAUUCCCCCAGUAGCGGCGAGCGAACGGGGAGGAGCCCAGAGCCUGAAUCAGUGUGUGUGUUAGUGGAAGCGUCUGGAAAGGCGCGCGAUACAGGGUGACAGCCCCGUACACAAAAAUGCACAUACUGUGAGCUCGAUGAGUAGGGCGGGACACGUGGUAUCCUGUCUGAAUAUGGGGGGACCAUCCUCCAAGGCUAAAUACUCCUGACUGACCGAUAGUGAACCAGUACCGUGAGGGAAAGGCGAAAAGAACCCCGGCGAGGGGAGUGAAAAAGAACCUGAAACCGUGUACGUACAAGCAGUGGGAGCCUCUUAAUGGGGUGACUGCGUACCUUUUGUAUAAUGGGUCAGCGACUUAUAUUCUGUAGCAAGGUUAACCGAAUAGGGGAGCCGAAGGGAAACCGAGUCUUAACUGGGCGUUAAGUUGCAGGGUAUAGACCCGAAACCCGGUGAUCUAGCCAUGGGCAGGUUGAAGGUUGGGUAACACUAACUGGAGGACCGAACCGACUAAUGUUGAAAAAUUAGCGGAUGACUUGUGGCUGGGGGUGAAAGGCCAAUCAAACCGGGAGAUAGCUGGUUCUCCCCGAAAGCUAUUUAGGUAGCGCCUCGUGAAUUCAUCUCCGGGGGUAGAGCACUGUUUCGGCAAGGGGGUCAUCCCGACUUACCAACCCGAUGCAAACUGCGAAUACCGGAGAAUGUUAUCACGGGAGACACACGGCGGGUGCUAACGUCCGUCGUGAAGAGGGAAACAACCCAGACCGCCAGCUAAGGUCCCAAAGUCAUGGUUAAGUGGGAAACGAUGUGGGAAGGCCCAGACAGCCAGGAUGUUGGCUUAGAAGCAGCCAUCAUUUAAAGAAAGCGUAAUAGCUCACUGGUCGAGUCGGCCUGCGCGGAAGAUGUAACGGGGCUAAACCAUGCACCGAAGCUGCGGCAGCGACACUAUGUGUUGUUGGGUAGGGGAGCGUUCUGUAAGCCUGUGAAGGUGUACUGUGAGGUAUGCUGGAGGUAUCAGAAGUGCGAAUGCUGACAUAAGUAACGAUAAAGCGGGUGAAAAGCCCGCUCGCCGGAAGACCAAGGGUUCCUGUCCAACGUUAAUCGGGGCAGGGUGAGUCGACCCCUAAGGCGAGGCCGAAAGGCGUAGUCGAUGGGAAACAGGUUAAUAUUCCUGUACUUGGUGUUACUGCGAAGGGGGGACGGAGAAGGCUAUGUUGGCCGGGCGACGGUUGUCCCGGUUUAAGCGUGUAGGCUGGUUUUCCAGGCAAAUCCGGAAAAUCAAGGCUGAGGCGUGAUGACGAGGCACUACGGUGCUGAAGCAACAAAUGCCCUGCUUCCAGGAAAAGCCUCUAAGCAUCAGGUAACAUCAAAUCGUACCCCAAACCGACACAGGUGGUCAGGUAGAGAAUACCAAGGCGCUUGAGAGAACUCGGGUGAAGGAACUAGGCAAAAUGGUGCCGUAACUUCGGGAGAAGGCACGCUGAUAUGUAGGUGAAGCGACUUGCUCGUGGAGCUGAAAUCAGUCGAAGAUACCAGCUGGCUGCAACUGUUUAUUAAAAACACAGCACUGUGCAAACACGAAAGUGGACGUAUACGGUGUGACGCCUGCCCGGUGCCGGAAGGUUAAUUGAUGGGGUUAGCGGUAACGCGAAGCUCUUGAUCGAAGCCCCGGUAAACGGCGGCCGUAACUAUAACGGUCCUAAGGUAGCGAAAUUCCUUGUCGGGUAAGUUCCGACCUGCACGAAUGGCGUAAUGAUGGCCAGGCUGUCUCCACCCGAGACUCAGUGAAAUUGAACUCGCUGUGAAGAUGCAGUGUACCCGCGGCAAGACGGAAAGACCCCGUGAACCUUUACUAUAGCUUGACACUGAACAUUGAGCCUUGAUGUGUAGGAUAGGUGGGAGGCUUUGAAGUGUGGACGCCAGUCUGCAUGGAGCCGGCCUUGAAAUACCACCCUUUAAUGUUUGAUGUUCUAACGUUGGCCCCUGAUCGGGGUUGCGGACAGUGUCUGGUGGGUAGUUUGACUGGGGCGGUCUCCUCCUAAAGAGUAACGGAGGAGCACGAAGGUUGGCUAAUCCUGGUCGGACAUCAGGAGGUUAGUGCAAUGGCAUAAGCCAGCUUGACUGCGAGCGUGACGGCGCGAGCAGGUGCGAAAGCAGGUCAUAGUGAUCCGGUGGUUCUGAAUGGAAGGGCCAUCGCUCAACGGAUAAAAGGUACUCCGGGGAUAACAGGCUGAUACCGCCCAAGAGUUCAUAUCGACGGCGGUGUUUGGCACCUCGAUGUCGGCUCAUCACAUCCUGGGGCUGAAGUAGGUCCCAAGGGUAUGGCUGUUCGCCAUUUAAAGUGGUACGCGAGCUGGGUUUAGAACGUCGUGAGACAGUUCGGUCCCUAUCUGCCGUGGGCGCUGGAGAACUGAGGGGGGCUGCUCCUAGUACGAGAGGACCGGAGUGGACGCAUCACUGGUGUUCGGGUUGUCAUGCCAAUGGCACUGCCCGGUAGCUAAAUGCGGAAGAGAUAAGUGCUGAAAGCAUCUAAGCACGAAACUUGCCCCGAGAUGAGUUCUCCCUGACUCCUUGAGAGUCCUGAAGGAACGUUGAAGACGACGACGUUGAUAGGCCGGGUGUGUAAGCGCAGCGAUGCGUUGAGCUAACCGGUACUAAUGAACCGUGAGGCUUAACCUU
Molecule: ribosomal RNA, 2904 nt
Filed under: Escherichia coli
Lineage: Bacteria; Pseudomonadati; Pseudomonadota; Gammaproteobacteria; Enterobacterales; Enterobacteriaceae
Also listed under: 1 other name
Description: 23S ribosomal RNA
Rfam family: Bacterial large subunit ribosomal RNA
Source: RNAcentral